AGUGAACGCUGGCGGUAGGCCUAACACAUGCAAGUCGAACGGCAGCACAGUAAGAGCUUGCUCUUACGGGUGGCGAGUGGCGGACGGGUGAGGAAUACAUCGGAAUCUACUUUUUCGUGGGGGAUAACGUAGGGAAACUUACGCUAAUACCGCAUACGACCUACGGGUGAAAGCAGGGGAUCUUCGGACCUUUCGCGAUUGAAUGAGCCGAUGUCGGAUUAGCUAGUUGGCGAGGUAAAGGCCCACCAAGGCGACGAUGCGUAGCUGGUCUGAGAGGAUGAUCAGCCACACUGGAACUGAGACACGGUCCAGACUCCUACGGGAGGCAGCAGUGGGGAAUAUUGGACAAUGGGCGCAAGCCUGAUCCAGCCAUACCGCGUGGGUGAAGAAGGUCUUCGGGUUGUAAAGCCCUUUUGUUGGGAAAGAAAAGCAGCAUGUUAAUCCCCCGCUGUUCUGACGGUACCCAAAGAAUAAGCACCGGCUAACUUCGUG
This 492-nucleotide ribosomal RNA is filed under the name uncultured bacterium. RNAcentral's name for it is "partial 16S ribosomal RNA". It matches the Rfam family "Bacterial small subunit ribosomal RNA", at positions 29 to 507 of the family's 1533-position model. The record is from RNAcentral.